Empidonax traillii (willow flycatcher) is the source of this 132-nucleotide long non-coding RNA. RefSeq lists it as uncharacterized. NCBI's taxonomy places the organism in Eukaryota, Metazoa, Chordata, Aves, Passeriformes, Tyrannidae. The record is from RefSeq and is a predicted model, not a curated record. The transcript is spliced from 3 exons.
ACCUGCCUGCUAAAUAUGUGAUCCACACUGUUGGGCCGAUCGCAAGAGGCCACCUCACCGACACUCAUAAAGAAAACUUAGCAAGCUGCUAUAAAUCCUCUCUUAAACUGGCAAAAGAAAACAACAUCAGAU